Molecule: long non-coding RNA, 2826 nt
Organism: Pan troglodytes (chimpanzee)
Lineage: Eukaryota; Metazoa; Chordata; Mammalia; Primates; Hominidae
Exons: 3
Source: RefSeq, a predicted model, not a curated record
AACCUCUGUGGCAUCUGACCCUGUUUGACAGAGGUCAGAAGUAUGAUUCUUCACCCAGCUGUCUCCCUGAAGGUGUCCAGGAGGAAAGAAGUGACAUGGGAGAAUAGUCUGUUCAUCCACUCCUAGAACAGAUAGCUAAACCUGUGUGACUCCCAUUUAACGUCACAGACAGCUUGGAGGAAAUAACUCUUCUAGCUGCCUGCAUCUAGACUGUUCUAAAAAUGAGUAGGAGAGAAGGCAGGAAGCCAAGAGCAAGAGAGGCAGGAUACAGAGAAAAGAAUACAUGUAGGACUGGAAAACUGGCCUGCGUGAAAAUUCCUGAUGCACCUACCAAAUGGUCUUAAGAUCUGACUGCUGAUUUCUCUACCUAACAAGAGACACUGACAACAUAUCUAAUACCAGAAUAAAUGGGAUAGAAGGAUAGUUGACACAGAGAUGUGAGAUGCGGAUGAGAAAUUGGAGCAGUUUCUGUUACUCAAAGUUCUUCCUCACUCUCUGGUGCCUGUUGCAGAGUCUCAGAUGAGAUUUUUUUACUUCUGAAAAUUAUUUCCUGGGUCACAGUGAAAAGGAGAAAUAGAGAAAACCUCUAGGUCUAGAGAUGCUGGAGGCCCAGAUAAUCUAGCUUAUUCCCUCCCACUCCUGCUCAAAGUCAGCUUCAUUUCAACCCCUGCCACCUUACCUGGUUGACCUGCCUGAGCCAUUUGUACCCCACUGAGCAUUGGCUGCUGCUGGCUUGGAGCUCCUGCCAUCUGCACCUGCUGUAAUCCUGAGGUUCCUGCAAGGAUCGUCCCAGCUCCUGGCUGGCCUGCCUGGCCAGGACCACUGCUGCCUGAAGGUCUCCAAUUAGAUAGUCCUUUCCCAAAGGCAACAGCUGCCACCAAGGCAUUAGUGUCUGUAGGGUUAAAGGUCUGCUUGUUCGGCCGGAGACCUGAAGAAAAAGUAAUGGGGAUCCUGAAGUAUGCUUCUGAUGCAGGACUGAACGUGGCAGCUGGAAGACCAGUAUGAGUGCCAGGGUUUGGAGUUCUGAAUUCAGCAACAUCUAGACUCCCUCACAGCCCAGAAAAAGAGCCAGAGGACCCCCAAGCCUAUCUCAGAAUUCUCUCUUCUUACUUUGCCCAUUUCCUCCACUGCUUCAGUGCUGGCCUUAAAUACAAAAGGCUAACAGAAUGGAUACAAACCCCAAAGCAGUUCACCCUUGUGUCCUAACUUCACUACUUCCAAAACAACCAUUCCCAUUCCAGUGAUCUUAUAUACCUCUCCUUCUCUGUUUAGCCACCAGUCCCAUCAUACCUCCACUCUCUGAUUCUCGCUCCUCUUUGCUGAUUUUCUCCAGAAGGUUUGAACACAUUUUAUUCAAGCUCUGGAUCUGCUUCUGUAACACACAAAUUUGUGCAGAGAUUAGGGUAACUAGGAAACGAUAUGGAGAAAUUUAUUCCUUGGGUUCUGCCAGAAGCAACUUAGGCGCAACCAACUAUGUAUCCCUACUAGACAGGAAUGGUAAUGCCUAGCCUCUCAUGAUGGGAUGGGGAUGGGGCAGCAAGGCAGUGACUCAGUCCAACCUGGGCUGCAUCUGCACCAAUGCGGGCAGCAUCUGUCGUCAGUUGCUUCUCCUGUUCUUCCACUUCAGGGUCAGGCUUGGUUCUCAGAUGGUCAGGGACUACCUCAUGGCUGAAAACAGGCACCCGUCCUUCAGUCUGCCGCUGUAACACACAGAUUUUAUUGAUCCUACUCUGUACUCCAAGAAGAUUCUAUCUGGCCUGACAUAAAGUCCCAUCCACAGGCAAACAGUGCAUUUUCAAGAAAAAUACAACCUGAGACAUAAUAUCUAGUUUGCUAGGACACACUCUCCUUUACUCCAUCCUUCAUUUUUUGUGUCUUCUCACAUCCCUAUCUCUACCAGACCUAGGGGCAAAUUAAACUAUCACUGUCUGCCACGCUUCAAAGACUGGAAUAGACAAAGUCACAAAAGGGCAAACUUUGUGGCUUGAGACAGAUGUUGGAGAAGAAAGGUAUCAGCCUUGGUGACAUACCCCUCAGGUUAUUACAGCACUAUUUGGGAGUGGCUCUCCCGCCUUCAGAAGAACAAAAAGCAAGGCCUCCAAAAUUAUUUCUAGGCUCUCAGCUAAUAACUUAAUUUCCCUAAAUACUAAAGAAGCCUAAAAAACCCCUUAAUUUCCCAAGUUGUAUUCUUUUUCUCCUCUUACCAUGAGAUCUUCAUCUCGGUCUGGAGACAACACCAGAGGAAUGAUGACCUGGUUACGGAACAGCGGUGUUUUUUCAUGCUUCAAGACCUUGUUCAGAGUGUUCAGCUGUCCAGAAAGCAAGGCAAAGUUGUCCAGGACAGAUGGCCUGGUGGUGGUAACAAGGUACACCCUACACUCCCUCACUGAGACAUUUUCGACAGACCUAAUGCCGGGAGAUCAUUCUCUCAUGUGCACCUCUGUAGCACAUGCACUCCAGCUUCCUCCAUCGUAGCAUCUGUGAGCCUGGCUGUCUUGUCAGUCUCUGGGAAAUCUGCCUACUCAUGAAGACUUCUCUGAAUACCAGUCCUGCUCUCCCCUUUCCUUCCCCCCACCAACGACUCCAGCUUUCCAUCUGCUCUCAUCAUUUUGUUUCAACCUUCUCCUUCCUGAAUUAAUAUGCACUCAUCUAUCUCUGUGUCAAUAUUCCCGUGCCUCUUUCACAAGCUCAGUCAACCCAUUAACAUUUAUUGAGACUACCAGCUGCAAGAAACUAAGUGACAAAUGAAAAACAAAAACCACACAUGCUUCUAAGCACUGGACAAACAAAUUAAAAUGCUGGGGGUCUGCAAAGCAUUUCCUUCCC